GGUAGCCGUACCGGAAGGUGCGGCUGGAUCACCUCCUUUCUAAGGAGCACCUGACA
RNAcentral lists this ribosomal RNA (56 nucleotides) under Mycolicibacterium elephantis DSM 44368. RNAcentral's name for it is "partial 16S ribosomal RNA". The record is from RNAcentral. Lineage: Bacteria; Bacillati; Actinomycetota; Actinomycetes; Mycobacteriales; Mycobacteriaceae.